UGGCCGUAAACGAUGUGGACUUGGUGUUGGAAUGGCUUCGAGUUGUUCCAGUGCCGAAGGGAAGCUGUUAAGUCCACCGCCUGGGAAGUACGGUCGCAAGACUGAAACCUAAAGGAAUUGGCGGGGGGAGCACCACAACGCGUGGAGCCUGCGGUUUAAUUGGAUUCAACGCCGGACAUCUCACCAGGAGCGACAGCAGAAUGAUAAUCAGGUUGAUGACCUUAUUUGACUAGCUGAGAGGUGGUGCAUGGCGUCAGUGACU
This 262-nucleotide ribosomal RNA is filed under the name uncultured archaeon. RNAcentral's name for it is "partial 16S ribosomal RNA". It matches the Rfam family "Archaeal small subunit ribosomal RNA", at positions 748 to 1008 of the family's 1478-position model. The record is from RNAcentral.